This 615-nucleotide ribosomal RNA is filed under the name uncultured bacterium. RNAcentral's name for it is "bacterial SSU rRNA". It matches the Rfam family "Bacterial small subunit ribosomal RNA", at positions 10 to 601 of the family's 1533-position model. The record is from RNAcentral.
AGUUUGAUCCUGGCUCAGAACGAACGCUGGCGGCGUGGAUAAGACAUGCAAGUCGGACGAGAUUUUUCGUUGUAGCAAUACGAUGGAAAGUCUAGUGGCGAACGGGUGCUUAACACGUGGGCAAUCUGUCUUAAAGUGGGGGAUAGCUCGGCGAAAGCCGGAUUAAUACCGCAUGUGAUCAGGGAAGACAUCUUCCUGAAAUCAAAGGUGCCGCAAGGUACCGCUUUUUGAGGAGCCCGCGGCCUAUCAGCUUGUUGGUGAGGUAACGGCUCACCAAGGCGUUGACGGGUAGCUGGUCUGAGAGGACGACCAGUCACACUGGGACUGAGACACGGCCCAGACACCUACGGGUGGCAGCAGUCGAGAAUUUUUCUCAAUGGGGGAAACCCUGAAGGAGCGACGCCGCGUGGAGGAUGAAGGUCUUCGGGUUGUAAACUCCUGUCAUUUGGGAACAAGUCGUACGUAUUAACUGUACGUGCGUUGAUAGUACCAGAAGAGGAAAGAGACGGCUAAACUCUGUGCCAGCAGCCGCGGUAAUACAGAGGUCUCAAGCGUUGUUCGGAUUCAUUGGGCGUAAAGGGUGCGUAUGCGGCGCGGUAAGUCGGGUGUGAAAUC